RNAcentral lists this transfer RNA (67 nucleotides) under Rugilus geniculatus. Its description in RNAcentral is "tRNA-Ile". The record is from RNAcentral. Lineage: Eukaryota; Metazoa; Arthropoda; Insecta; Coleoptera; Staphylinidae.
AAUAGAGUGCCUGAUUUUAAAAGGAUUAUCUUGAUAGGAUAAAUUAUGUGUUCAUACACCUUUAUUA